This is a long non-coding RNA of Xenopus laevis (African clawed frog), 301 nucleotides long. RefSeq lists it as uncharacterized. The record is from RefSeq and is a predicted model, not a curated record. NCBI's taxonomy places the organism in Eukaryota, Metazoa, Chordata, Amphibia, Anura, Pipidae. The transcript is spliced from 3 exons.
CUCAAUAGGAAAUUCUAUAAUAUGGCAACAGUGAAGAUACCCUCCAACAGUGAAGUUUACUUUCGUUCUACUCUAUGUUCAGCACAUGCACCUGGCAAGGGAUGAGAAUGAAAGAAGCAUCCUUGACUGGGCUAAAAAGUAGGGCACACAAAGUAUAAGAUGUGGCAAAAGCAGGAACAGAGACAAUCAGCCAAAGGCAUUUAGGAACAAUGAUGGAGAUUAACAUGGCACAAUUAAUAAAGGUGGUUGAAAUAACACUGAAACUUCCUUGAAAUAUACAUCACUUUGUUCUCCAUAUAAG